Arabidopsis thaliana (thale cress) is the source of this 393-nucleotide long non-coding RNA. RefSeq annotates it as other RNA. The transcript has a single exon. Lineage: Eukaryota; Viridiplantae; Streptophyta; Magnoliopsida; Brassicales; Brassicaceae. The record is from RefSeq.
GGUAAGUUUGGUUCGGUUGUCAAAUGGAAUUAGAAGAGCCUGAUAUGGAAGAGGAAGAGCUGGAGAAGUUGUGCUGCAAGUACGCGCCACUCUGUCGCUAGAGCAACCUCCACAAGCGCAGGUCUUACACGGGAUUACUGAGUCAUUGAAAUAAGAAGAGAAUGAGACGCAGCAUUUAGGAGGAGUUGGUUGAGUGAUGUUGCAGACGACUUGCCAGCUAGCAAAUGCACUCUUGUUUGAAGGCAAACCGCUUGUAUCAGGGAACUGGCUUGAGCUGACACGAAGAGGAGGGCCACAUUUGUAAUCCGGGUUAAGGUUACCUUUAAUCUGCCAGCUCUGGGGAGGUGUUAUAGAGGAGAUGUUGAGAUCAGGAGGCAUUUUGUAAACUUCUAU